AGUGAACGCUGGCGGUAGGCCUAACACAUGCAAGUCGAACGGCAGCACAGUAAGAGCUUGCUCUUACGGGUGGCGAGUGGCGGACGGGUGAGGAAUACAUCGGAAUCUACUUUUUCGUGGGGGAUAACGUAGGGAAACUUACGCUAAUACCGCAUACGACCUACGGGUGAAAGCAGGGGAUCUUCGUACCUUGCGCGAUUGAAUGAGCCGAUGUCGGAUUAGCUAGUUGGCGGGGUAAAGGCCCACCAAGGCGACGAUCCGUAGCUGGUCUGAGAGGAUGAUCAGCCACACUGGAACUGAGACACGGUCCAGACUCCUACGGGAGGCAGCAGUGGGGAAUAUUGGACAAUGGGCGCAAGCCUGAUCCAGCCAUACCGCGUGGGUGAAGAAGGCCUUCGGGUUGUAAAGCCCUUUUGUUGGGAAAGAAAAGCAGCAGGUUAAUAACCCGCUGUUCUGACGGUACCAAAAGAAUAAGCACCGGCUAACUUCGUG
RNAcentral lists this ribosomal RNA (492 nucleotides) under uncultured bacterium. RNAcentral describes it as "partial 16S ribosomal RNA". It matches the Rfam family "Bacterial small subunit ribosomal RNA", at positions 29 to 507 of the family's 1533-position model. The record is from RNAcentral.